CUUUUACAGAUUAGGGCCGGGUUGGUUAGGCGCUCCUUUUGGGAAGGAGAAUAGUUGCGUUCGAACCGCAAUAAUCUGAUAUGGAAUUAAUAGAAAUGUAAUUGAUAUAGAACAUAUAUUUAUAUGAAAAUAUAUAAGUAUACAAAGAAACUAUUAUGGAAAUCUGGCUAUGUAUUAAAGGGUAUGAUUUAUUUACUCAAAUUAAGAAUUUAGUAUAAAAUCUAAAUAAUAAUUUAUAUUAAUUUAGUAUAAAUUAUUCUUAGAAUCUAAAAACUUAUUUUAAAUAUAAACCCUAAGAGAAGUUUUUUAAUAAACGAAGUGAAUUGAAAUAUCUUAGUAACUUCAGGAAAAGAAAUCAAAAGAGAUUCUACGAUUAGCGUGAGCGAAAGUAGAGAAGCCUAUAUAUUAAUAAGUAAAAUGGUUUAGAAACUGUUUGAAUUUAAUGGGGAACCUUCCUCAAAGGCUAAAUAUAAUACAUAAGCGAUAGUGAAUAGUAUCAUGAGAGAACGAUUAGAAUUAGUAGUUUUAUAAGCAGUUCGAGCAAAAUAAAUAAGUGAGAACGUACCUUUUGCAUAAUGGGUCACCAAGUUAACAUUAGAUGCGAGUGAAAGCGUAGAUAAACCAAUCGUUAAAAUAACGAAUAGUGUCUAAAGUUAGACCCGAAGCCUGGUGAUUUUACCACAAUCAGGAUUAUAAAAGUCCGAACGGGUUAUCGUUGUAAAGAUAUCCGAAGAAUUGUGGUAGGUAGUGAAAGACAACACUGACUAGGAUAGCUGGUUUUCUGCGAAACCUAUAACAGUAGGCAAUUUGAGUACAUCUUAGCAGGUACAGAAUUUAAUCUCAGACAAGAUGUUUUCAUUUUAGUUCUUGAACUAAAACAACAUGUUGAUUUGUAUAUAUCGGGGGAUCGUGAAGAUUUUAUCGGUGAGUAUGUAGACUCGGAAUGGCAAAGAUGGAUCUUGAAUUAUCAGACAUAGAAUGAUAAGGUUGUAUGUCAAAAGGGAAACAGCCCAGAACAAGAGUUAAGGUUCCAAAAUUAUUAGUUAAGUGAAAUUAAGAAGGUUUUUAUUAAAGUCGACAAGGAGAUGGGCUUAGAAGCAGCCAAAUUUUGAAGACCUCGUAACAGAGCGCUUGUUAAGUUUUAAAAGCAUCGAAAAUUUAACGGAUCUAAACAAUAUACCGACACCUUGUCCAUAUUUUACUAUAUAUAUUAUUGUAAUUUUGUGGGGUAGCAGAACGUUGAAUUAAAUUAAGAUAUUUCUUCUGUGAAGAAAUAUAUAACAAACAAUUCAAGUGAGAAUGGUGACAUGAGUAACGAAUAAGAAGGACACGAUGAGAAAGGGGACAAACGAAACCGGACUUUUCAAAUCCUCCGCCUAAAGCUUAUGGAUGGGCAGAUACCCUUAAAGUAACGGCCUCUAAGUUAUAAAUCUAAAGGUUUAAACGAUGAGAAAAUCUUUUUUACUAAAUGACAACAUUUACAAGUGGUAAGUGUGCUGGAAAAAAUAGUAAUAUAUUUUAUUAAGUAUAUACAACAAACUAAAUAGAUGAGUAUAGAAAUAUGAAAUGAAAAAAUAACCGUACCUAGAAACUAAAACAAGUAAGCUAGUAGAGAAUACGAAGGCGUAAAUGAGCUAACAAUCAUAAAGGAACUCGGCAAACUAACUACCGUAACUUCGGGAUAAGGAGAGCUCAUUAGUCCUGAUUAAUAUCGGGUAAAAAGGAAGAAGCAUAAAAUAGUGUUGUACGACUGUUUAAUUAAAACACAGCACUUUGCUAAAAGAUUAAAAAUCGAAGUAUUGAGUGUGAUGUCUGCCCGAUGCCGGCUGGUUAACGAAUUUAACUAAAUUGAUCAAAAAAUUUGGUGUUGAAGGAACCCCCGGUUAAUGGCGGCCUUAACGUGAGGGUCCUAAGGUAGCGAAAUGCCUUGGCCGUUAAAUGCGGUCUUGCAUGAAUGAUGUAACGAUACAACAGCUGUCUCUAUGAUUGACUCAGUGAAAUUGGAAUAACUGUGCAGAUACAGUUUACCUCUAGUUAGACGAGAAGACCCUAUGCAGCUUUACUGUUACUAAUUAUAGGGUAUGAUGGAUUAAUUUUCAGAUUAUAAGGUACAUUGAUUCAAUAAAAAUGAAAAUCCUUUAUUUUUACAUCAUACUUCAGAAUUAAUUCUUUUUGCUUCCUCCUUAGGAGGAAAGAAAGGAUUAACCUAGUCUGACUUUAAGUAGCCUUAGGUAAGGAAUAUAUUGUUAGGAGACAGUUUAUGUGGGGCACAGGCCCCUUAAAGAGUAAAAGGGAGUGUCUAAAAAUUAUUUGUUAUAAAAUUUAUAACGUUGUUUGUGAUUUUAUGUAGUUUUACUAUAUUUAAUCUUAUAAAAUUAUCUUUAUCUACCCUUGUUGUAGAUACGGAUGGAUAUUAGGUACGAUUUUCACUAUAGUGAAAGUAGCGGUAUAAAAAAAUAUUAUGAAGAGCUCGCGCCUUCUAAUGUUUUUUGAGUUAUUAAGCUGCCCUCGUGGCUCUUAAUAAUAAUGAUGAAUACCUGAAAAGCUCAACGGCUUAUUCGUGCCUUACUGUUUGAUUAACAACAAAUCUUACAGUUGCGUAAGCAGGGCAUAGGAUCACAAGAUGCAAAAAGGAAAGAUCUUGGAUUAUUGGAAAAGCUACGCUAGGGAUGUUUGUCCUUCAAUAUUUUUAAAUUAAAAUUAUUGAUAAUAUAUUGGGUUAAUUUC
RNAcentral lists this ribosomal RNA (2727 nucleotides) under Colletotrichum coccodes. RNAcentral's name for it is "bacterial LSU rRNA". It matches the Rfam family "Bacterial large subunit ribosomal RNA", at positions 1 to 2533 of the family's 2925-position model. The record is from RNAcentral. Lineage: Eukaryota; Fungi; Ascomycota; Sordariomycetes; Glomerellales; Glomerellaceae.